UACGAAGGGGACUAGCGUUGUUCGGAAUCACUGGGCGUAAAGCGCACGUAGGCGGAUGUGUCAGUCAGGGGUGAAAUCCCGGGGCUCAACCUCGGAACUGCCUUUGAUACAGCACGUCUCGAGUCCGGAAGAGGUGGGUGGAAUUCCUAGUGUAGAGGUGAAAUUCGUAGAUAUUAGGAAGAACACCGGUGGCGAAGGCGGCUCACUGGUCCGGUACUGACGCUGAGGUGCGAAAGCGUGGGGAGCAAACAGG
This 253-nucleotide ribosomal RNA is filed under the name uncultured bacterium. Its description in RNAcentral is "partial 16S ribosomal RNA". It matches the Rfam family "Bacterial small subunit ribosomal RNA", at positions 524 to 776 of the family's 1533-position model. The record is from RNAcentral.